GUGAAUGCCGAAUGGGGCCGUCGCUGAUUGUUGUUGGUAGGUCGCCUCUAGCAGGGUGGCAUCCCGCCACGUGGCGAGCAGCCCGGCCGCCCCCACGCUGGAUGUGGACGUGCCACAUGCACUGCACGCACGGAUCACCGGCGAAUCAAGGCCGCCGUGGCGAGGAGCUGCCACUAUUCGUAGUGGCUAGCUAGCAUGGGCCAUGGGAAACAGAAACAGGGCCCGCUCUCGACCGACCAAACCAACCAAGGGUAGUAAACGCGCGCGCCGAUCGGUGGCCACUGGCCAGGCUCGCUCGUGGUGGCGCUGCUGCGACGCCGCGCAGGCAACGCGACACGCGUUAUGCCGGCCGCCGGCGCGGCGGCCUUGUACUUGUCCGGCCUCCGGCGCCGUGACGCCGUCUCGUUGCUCGACCUGGUUUGGUGACGGUUAGGCGCGUCCGGUGCCCGUCCGGUCAUAUUUGAGACAGGUGCGACGGCCGCAUGGGCUACGAUGAUUGUCCCGACGGCACAAAUAAUUGGGGUCGCCGUCGCCCAAAUGAUUCGUGCCAAUCUCGAUCUACUAAUAUCUAACGAGGCGCUCGCUUUCCCGUACCGGCCGAUGGUCUCGGGGACGUGAUUAAGCGCCCUUUUGAACUACGCGCGCGUGUCCUUGCCGUUUCUUUUGCGAGAUUAAGUUAGGCGUACGGCCACCGCUGCUGAGAAAACUGCGGUCACAUCAGAAUCAUCAUUUGCCGGUGGAAAAGUGUGGCAAGGGACCAAGCGUGCGAGCCCAGGCAGCGGCAGGCCAGGAACCGGACGCCGCGCCGCGCGCGGUGGCUUGCUUCGUCUGGCAGCAGAG
RNAcentral lists this long non-coding RNA (840 nucleotides) under Setaria italica (foxtail millet). Its description in RNAcentral is "long non-coding RNA (SITA_LNC001630)". Lineage: Eukaryota; Viridiplantae; Streptophyta; Magnoliopsida; Poales; Poaceae. The record is from RNAcentral.